AUGGAGGUGCCGCCGGAGAUGCUCGACACCCUAGCGGGCUGGUUCGCGCAGACGCUCUCCCCCGACGCCGCCGCCCGCCGCGCCGCCGAGCAGAGCCUCGCCGCCGCGGCCGCCACCCCGGGCUUCGCGCUCGCGCUCCUCGGCCUCGCCUCCUCCCCGCGCCACGACCUCCAGGCCCGCCUCGCCGCCUCCGUCCACUUCAAGAACCUCCUCCGCCGCCGCUGGCCCAAGCCCGCCGACGACGCCGACGACGCCGACCACCUCCCGCCCAACGACUGCGUCAUCAUCAAGACGCACAUCCUCCAGCUCCUACUCACCGCCCCGCCGCUCAUCCAGUCGCAGCUCUCCGAAGCCCUCGCCGCCGCCGCGGCCUCCGACUUCCCUGCCAGAUGGGAGUCGCUCCUCCCGUCUAUAGUCUCCUCGCUCGGUAACGCCCUCUCGGCGGGGGACGUCCCCGCCACCAACUCCCUCCUCGCCGCUGCGGUCUCCCUCUUCUCCCGCUUCCGCAACGUCUUCGACAGCAACACCCUCCGCAUCGACCUCAAGUACUGCCUAGACACUUUUGCGGCGCCCCUCCUCGAGGUCUUCCUCUCCACCUCUCGCCGCCUUCAGGCCUCUGCAGCCGCCGCAAGCCCACUUGAACUGCGCCCCGUAUUUGAGUGCCUUCGUCUGUGCUGCGAGAUCUUCUACUCGCUCAACUCUGUGGACCUGCCCGAGUUCUUCGAGGAUCACAUGCGUGAGUGGAUGACAGAGUUCCGUGCAUUCCUCACCACCUCCUACCCUCCGCCUGUCGAGGCAGAUGGUGCUCCAGAUGCGCUCCGAGCUGCUGUGUGUGAUAACCUGCAGCUGUACAUGGAGAAGUAUGAGGAAGAGUUCAGGGCAUAUUUGAAGGAGUUUGUUGAGGCCGUGUGGGGGCUCCUCAUGGCGCCGACAGUCUCGCCGUCCCGUGGUCAGCUUGCCGUGACUGCUAUAAGGUUCUUGACAACAGUCGCCGAGAGUGUUCACCAUGCUUUGUUCGGGACUCCUGAUGCAAUGAAACAGAUAUGUGACAGUGUUGUUGUGCCUAACCUGCGACUGCGGGAGGAGGAUGAGGAGUUGUUUGAGGGCAACUGGGUGGAAUAUGUCAGGCGUGAUGCAGAGGGAAGUGAUACGGAUACACUGAGGCGUGCUGCAUGCCGCUUGCUGCGGGGGCUAGCCGCGAACUACCGGGAACAGGUGGCUGUUCUUGUAUCAGCACAGGUCCAGCAGAUGUUGGCUGCAUAUGCGGCUGACAGGGCAAACAACUGGAAGGAGAAGGACGCUGCGAUAUAUCUUGUUAUCGCUCUUAUGCAGAAGCCUGGUGCCACAGGUGGUGGGACACCUGUGGUUGACAUGGAGAGAUUCUUUGCAUCUGUGAUUGUGCCCGAGCUGCAGGCCCCUGAUUGGGAAUCUGAGCCAAUGCUGAAGGCAACAGUCCUCAGGUUCUUGAAGGAGUUCAAGGAUCAGAUACCCAAAGCCACUGCACUAGCUCUGCUUCCAAGUGUGACAAGGUUCCUGACGCAUGAGUCCAAUGUUGUCCAUUCCUAUGCUGCGAUCUUUAUUGAGAACCUGCUGAUCACCAAGGAUGUUGUCCAGGUACCAGGGGUCAAUGUGGUGACAAGAGCUUCACGCUAUGUUGCUGCUGAUAUCAACUCUUUUGCCCAGCAGAUUAUUCAGAGCCUGUCCAAGGCGUUAGGUUAUCCUGAUUCUUAUGAGAACCCCUAUCUGAUGAAGUGCCUGAUGAGAGUGCUUGGGAUUGCAACUAUCGCUGGCCAAGUUGUUCAUGAGAUAACCGCUCGUCUUGUCGGCAUUCUGAUGGAAGUGUGCAAUAACCCCAAGAACCCUGACUUUAAUCAUUACUUGUUUGAAGCUCUGGCAGCAGUGAUUGGCAAGGCUGGUGAACAAGACCCAGCGUUGGUACCUUUGUUUGAGGCAAGCCUCUUCCCAGUGCUCCAGAGGAUAUUAGUUGAGGACAUCUCAGAGUUCUGGCCAUAUUCUUUUCAGAUAUUCGCACAGCUUGUCAAUUUGAGCAGACCACCUCUCUCGCAGAAUUACAUGCAGCUGUUUGGUGUCUUGCUCAGCAAUGCUACUUGGGAUCGACCACCAUGUGUUCCUGCCUUGGUUCGCUUGCUGCGAGCAUUCCUUCGGAAAAUUCCAAAUGAGCUUAACCAAGAAGGUAGGCUGCCAAAUAUCUUAGUGAUAUUCCGUAGUCUAGUUUCACGCAGCAGCACGGAAGAUUCUGCAUUCUACAUGCUUAACACACUAGUGGAAAAUGUUGGUUUGGACAUUAUCAAUCCACACAUAAGUGAGAUAUGGAGUGCUCUCUUUACUCGCUUACAGACUAGGCAAGCAGUGAAGUUUGUGAAUUCUCUUGUGGUGGUCAUGUCCUUGGUGUCAGUCAAGUAUGGGCCAGGUGUUCUUGUCAGUUCUGUUGAUACGAUUCAGCCAAAUCUCUUCACCACAAUUCUUCAGCGUUUUUGGAUUCCCAAUCUCAAGUUGAUCAAAGGUUCUCUUGAAAUCAAGCUUACAGCAGUUGCCUCAACAAAGUUGCUUUGUGAGUCCGCGGUGCUGCUGGAUGCUGCUGCAGCCCAAACGUGGGGUAAAUUGCUUGAUAGCAUUGUCACACUGUUGUCUAGAACGGAGCAAGAUGGAGUACAACAAGAGCAAAAUGACGGAGCUGAUGCGGUGGAUAGUCAGAGGACAUCAGGUUAUUCUGUCUCAUUUGUACGCCUUCAAUAUGCUGGGAAGAGUGAAGAUGAUCUGUUGAAAGACAUAAAUGAUCCAAAGCAGUUUCUGGUAACAUCCUUGGCCUCGCUUUCUGCACAGUCUCCUGGAAGGUUUGGUCCUAUCAUUGAGCAGCAUGUGGACCCAGCAAACAAAAGUGCUCUUCUUCAGCUUUGUGCUGCCUAUAAUGCCAACAUCGUCUAG
RNAcentral lists this ribosomal RNA (2946 nucleotides) under Triticum aestivum (bread wheat). Its description in RNAcentral is "partial small subunit ribosomal RNA". Lineage: Eukaryota; Viridiplantae; Streptophyta; Magnoliopsida; Poales; Poaceae. The record is from RNAcentral.